RNAcentral lists this ribosomal RNA (250 nucleotides) under uncultured bacterium. RNAcentral's name for it is "partial 16S ribosomal RNA". It matches the Rfam family "Bacterial small subunit ribosomal RNA", at positions 524 to 773 of the family's 1533-position model. The record is from RNAcentral.
UACGGAGGGGGCAAGCGUUGUUCGGAAUUACUGGGCGUAAAGGGCGCGUAGGCGGAUUGGUUAGUCAGAUGUGAAAUCCCCGAGCUUAACUUGGGAACUGCAUUUGAUACUGCUGAUCUAGAGUCCGGGAGAGGAUAGUGGAAUUCCCAGUGUAGAGGUGAAAUUCGUAGAUAUUGGGAAGAACACCAGUGGCGAAGGCGGCUAUCUGGACCGGUACUGACGCUGAGGCGCGAAAGCGUGGGGAGCAAAC